UACAUCAGUGAUGAAUAUAAUCUUCUGGCAUAGCCCUAAGGCUAUUUACAUGGCAGCGGAAGUCUAUUUAAAUGGCGGCGGAAGUCUUGGCAGUAUGUCCCUCUGGCUGGGCUCCACAACUCACAGGACUGGCAUGAUUACGGCCUAGCACGACGAAACAAAUGAACUACCUACAAAACUGGCAUGACACGCCAGGUCAGUACAUUGAAUGUAUUUGCAAGACAACCAAAUACAUAGCAUCCAAACAAGAAGAAGACAAAGCAAGAACCAAGCGUCUACAACAACCUAUCUCAUAUAAGAAACUAAGCAUGGCAUUAUAUCAACCGAAGACAUAAAUCAAGCUAACCUCAUGGCAUCUACUAGCAUGGCAACAACAUAGCAUAUCAAAUUUACUCCUAACAUGGCAAUAGCAAAGCAUAGCAUAUCAUCUCAAUCAUAUCCAUCAAAACAUGGCAUGGCAUAAAUAAACUAUGCUGAAACUAAACCACCAAUCAUAUCAAAUGCAGACGUAGCAUGUUAACUGUAUGCAACCAUCUCAUGUUCUACCAUGGUUCUUCAAUGCAAACAUAUUACUCAUGCAAUGCAACCAAACUUGUGCACCGAGUCCCUCGGAUUCUCUUACCAACAGUGAUCACCUCAUUUCCUGAUCACCAACAGAGACAAACUCAUGAUCCUUAUGGCAAUCACAACCCGACCAACGACUGGCCCGUGAUCCUUAUGGUGAUCACAACCCGACCAACAAUUGGACCGUGAUCCUUAUGGCGAUCACAACGCGACCACAUCUGGCCCGUGAUCCUUACGGCGAUCACAACCCGAGCACAUCUGGCCCAGCUUAAUUAUUUUAAGUUUAUCCUCCAUUCCGACCAAGACCCGAUAGUGUACCCUACUAAGAACUUAUGCCCAUGACCGAGGACGCGGCUAUCGAUAGUUUAAAUACAAUGUGUAGAGGUAGCGCAUUGUACCCACACUACGGAACCCAUGGCCUCGCACUCCCAUUCGUGUGGACCAACGGCAUUUCGACAAAACCGAUCUACUGUCAUGACACUCUCCCGGCCACUCCGACUCACUCCCCACUGGGCUGGUCAUGGGUGGCCCCGUGUCUACCUACAGACACCUCAACAACCACCGUCGUGGCCCGUCCCACUUUGGGACACGUGCACAAAACUUAACUUAACAACGGGCUCACAAGGUCAUGCUCCGCCUACCUGCUCAGGGUAGCGCGUGCCCAUAACCUUCCCUAGUUGGAGGCACUGACCAGAGGCACGACAAUAGACAAAAUUAAGGUCGUCCCAUACCGGCAAAUGUGGUUGCACUUGGAAAAAGUUCGAUUUGGCGGCACUAUGACUCGAUCCCAUCGAUGAUGGAGGGGUUUUGUUAUUAAGUCAUGCUAUUAUCUUCUCCAUCAUCAAUCAUUAUACCAGCAUUUUAACAUGAAUGCAACAAUGAGCAUACUUCAUACAAAUGCUUUAACAAAACAUCGGGCUUCUCAAGUGAACACUUACAGCAUAAAGAACAUGACAAUACCAAGUACUAACAUAUCCACGGUGCAUUACCAUCAUCAUAUCAUUUUAUAACGAUGACUUGAAAAUAAAUUAGAGUAGUGACAUGGCAUCAUCAAUAACAACAUUCUAAUUAUCAUGGCAAAAGAUAUCAUGAAAAACACAAGCAUGAAUAAUAAGCAUAAUGAAAUAACUGCACACGAAAACGAUAAGAAACAACUGCAACUACACACACACAAGGUGCAAGCAAAGUCAACAGGCAAGUUCGAGGCUCAUGAUAAGAGGUUGUCUUGCCUGGGGGUCGACAAAUACUCCGGGAAGAAGUGGGAAACGAUCGCGGAAAAAUUGCCGGAAACAGUUCUCUCUCGGAGGGGGCUGUUUACGGACAAGGGCAAAGUGGUCAUUUUCACAGUGUCAACCGAUAGUGAAAAUGAUGGAAACGCAACGGGCUCGACGAGACGAAGACGUGGGCGUUGGAUUUACCUCAAACGGAGUUACUGUUAAAAAGAUACGGACGUUUAAAACUCAGGGACUAAUCUGUAAAAAUUCUUCUACAAACAGGUCCCUGGCAGUUUGAAACGGACGUGUCUUUUCGGCAAUAC
RNAcentral lists this long non-coding RNA (2101 nucleotides) under Triticum aestivum (bread wheat). RNAcentral describes it as "long non-coding RNA (TAES_LNC012215)". Lineage: Eukaryota; Viridiplantae; Streptophyta; Magnoliopsida; Poales; Poaceae. The record is from RNAcentral.